RNAcentral lists this ribosomal RNA (253 nucleotides) under uncultured bacterium. RNAcentral describes it as "partial 16S ribosomal RNA". It matches the Rfam family "Bacterial small subunit ribosomal RNA", at positions 524 to 776 of the family's 1533-position model. The record is from RNAcentral.
UACGAAGGGGGCUAGCGUUGCUCGGAAUCACUGGGCGUAAAGCGCACGUAGGCGGCUUUUUAAGUCAGGGGUGAAAUCCUGGAGCUCAACUCCAGAACUGCCUUUGAUACUGGGAAGCUUGAGUCCGGAAGAGGUGAGUGGAACUCCGAGUGUAGAGGUGAAAUUCGUAGAUAUUCGCAAGAACACCAGUGGCGAAGGCGGCUUACUGGUCCGGUUCUGACGCUGAGGCGCGAAAGCGUGGGGAGCAAACAGG